CCUAUGGGGGGCACCAGUCGCGAAAACUUCACAAUGGGGGCAACCCCGAUGAGGGAAUUCCUAGUGCUGACACUUUUUUGUGUCAGCUUUUCUUUAGCGUAGAUAACUAGAGGAAUAAGGGCUGGGUAAGACGGGUGCCAGCCGCCGCGGUAAUACCCGCAGCCCGAGUGGUGGUCGACUUUAUUGAGUCUAAAACGUUCGUAGCCGGUUCGCUAAAUCCUUGGGUAAAUCGGAAAGCUUAACUUUCCGAAUUCCGAGGAGACUGGCGAACUUGGGACCGGGAGAGGCAAGAGGUACUUGGGGGGUAGGGGUAAAAUCCUGUAAUCCUCCAAGGACCACCGGUGGCGAAGGCGUCUUGCUAGAACGGAUCCGACGGUGAGGGACGAAGCCCUGGGUCGCAAACGGGAUUAGAUACCCCCGUAGUCC
Molecule: ribosomal RNA, 426 nt
Filed under: uncultured euryarchaeote
Lineage: Archaea; Methanobacteriati; Methanobacteriota
Description: bacterial SSU rRNA
Rfam family: Archaeal small subunit ribosomal RNA
Source: RNAcentral